GCAAUUGUGCAACGCAUUUGAGAC
This 24-nucleotide non-coding RNA is filed under the name Arabidopsis thaliana (thale cress). Lineage: Eukaryota; Viridiplantae; Streptophyta; Magnoliopsida; Brassicales; Brassicaceae. The record is from RNAcentral.